RNAcentral lists this ribosomal RNA (491 nucleotides) under uncultured bacterium. Its description in RNAcentral is "partial 16S ribosomal RNA". It matches the Rfam family "Bacterial small subunit ribosomal RNA", at positions 29 to 507 of the family's 1533-position model. The record is from RNAcentral.
GUGAACGCUGGCGGUAGGCCUAACACAUGCAAGUCGAACGGCAGCACAGUAAGAGCUUGCUCUUACGGGUGGCGAGUGGCGGACGGGUGAGGAAUACAUCGGAAUCUACUUUUUCGUGGGGGAUAACGUAGGGAAACUUACGCUAAUACCGCAUACGACCUACGGGUGAAAGCAGGGGAUCUUCGGACCUUGCGCGAUUGAAUGAGCCGAUGUCGGAUUAGCUAGUUGGCGGGGUAAAGGCCCACCAAGGCGACGAUCCGUAGCUGGUCUGAGAGGAUGAUCAGCCACACUGGAACUGAGACACGGUCCAGACUCCUACGGGAGGCAGCAGUGGGGAAUAUUGGACAAUGGGCGCAAGCCUGAUCCAGCCAUACCGCGUGGGUGAAGAAGGCCUUCGGGUUGUAAAGCCCUUUUGUUGGGAAAGAAAAGCAGCAGGUUAAUACCCCGCUGUUCUGACGGUACCCAAAGAAUAAGCACCGGCUAGCUUCGUG